CUACGGAGGAUGCGAGCGUUAUCCGGAUUUAUUGGGUUUAAAGGGAGCGUAGGUGGGAUAUUAAGUCAGCUGUGAAAGUUUGGGGCUCAACCUUAAAAUUGCAGUUGAUACUGGUUUCCUUGAGUACGGUACAGGUGGGCGGAAUUCGUGGUGUAGCGGUGAAAUGCUUAGAUAUCACGAAGAACUCCGAUCGCGAAGGCAGCUCACCGAGCCGGAACUGACACUGAUGCUCGAAAGUGCGGGUAUCAAACAGGAUUAGAUACCCUGGUAGUCCGCACAGUAAACGAUGAAUACUCGCUGUUCGCGAUACACGGUAAGCGGCCAAGCGAAAGCGUUAAGUAUUCCACCUGGGGAGUACGCCGGCAACGGUGAAACUCAAAGGAAGUGACGGGG
RNAcentral lists this ribosomal RNA (393 nucleotides) under uncultured bacterium. Its description in RNAcentral is "partial 16S ribosomal RNA". It matches the Rfam family "Bacterial small subunit ribosomal RNA", at positions 523 to 918 of the family's 1533-position model. The record is from RNAcentral.